GAUGAACGCUAGCGGCAGGCUUAAUACAUGCAAGUCAAGGGGGUAGCAAUACAACCGGCGCACGGGUGAGUAACACGUACACAACAUACCAUAUACUGAGGUAUAGCUUCGGGAAACUGAAGGUAAUCCCUCAUAGUAUUGUGAAAGGGCAUCUUUUUACAAUUAAAGUUUCGACGGUAUAUGAUUGGUGUGCGUUUGAUUAGCUAGUUGGUAGGGUAACGGCCUACCAAGGCAACGAUCAAUAGCUGGCGUGAGAGCGCGACCAGCCACACUGGAACUGAGACACGGUCCAGACUCCUACGGGAGGCAGCAGUAGGGAAUAUUGGACAAUGGGCGAAAGCCUGAUCCAGCCAUGCCGCGUGAUAGAUGAAGGCCCUCUGGGUUGUAAAUAUCUUUUUAUCUAGGAAGAAACACUUCUAUUCUUAGAAGCUUGACGGUACCAGAGGAAUAAGCACCGGCUAACUCCGUGCCAGCAGCCGCGGUAAAGUAUCGUACGC
RNAcentral lists this ribosomal RNA (497 nucleotides) under uncultured bacterium. RNAcentral's name for it is "bacterial SSU rRNA". It matches the Rfam family "Bacterial small subunit ribosomal RNA", at positions 28 to 532 of the family's 1533-position model. The record is from RNAcentral.